Long non-coding RNA from Asterias rubens (European starfish), 2556 nucleotides. RefSeq lists it as uncharacterized. The record is from RefSeq and is a predicted model, not a curated record. The transcript is spliced from 2 exons. NCBI's taxonomy places the organism in Eukaryota, Metazoa, Echinodermata, Asteroidea, Forcipulatida, Asteriidae.
UUACAGGAAACCGUCAACUGUACAGAACUACAAAUAACACCUUUUCAGCUUUAGUCACAACAUUGAAGAUAUUAGGAUGGGACCAAAGUUGCUUCUGAUUCUCGUCAUGUUGUGUUGUUGGUGUCUAGUAAGUCAGCGGGUACAAUCCACCAGAUUAGACGAACUACGGAAUCGAUUUAUCGAUAAGGCAAUCGAAUCGGAAACCCAGAGGAAACGACGCCCUUUGUCGUCGCUAAGCAGGGGGCCAGAACAGCAGGAUUAUCACUUCGCUGCAGGGAUCUUCCGGAAGAGGAUGUUUAAUACGGGUGAGGAGAUCAAUCAGGACCCCGGCUACUACGCAUUCGAGGAUGAGUAAAACGCCACCACUCUUAAAGGACGGACCAUAAUAAUUUAUCUUGUUAUUUCAUACGGGACAGAGGACCAUCUGCUUCUAUGAAAUGGCUGAAUGGCGAGAUGAUUUGACCUAUCUGACACGAUCAAUUGCUGUGUGGAUAGCUUGCCCCUGAUGGCAUCUCAACCUUUGACUCAGAGACAUACUGUUUAAUUAUAGCACCGUAUUGUGCUGUCAACGUUUUUAGUUUUCUUCGAAACAACAAACUACAGAUAUCCCGUUUAAACGACCAAGCCAUUACUAGUCUGGCAGCUUUCCUGCAUUCUCACGUUAUUCAUUCGCCAUGGGAGGCCUGCUAAGAUGAACGCAUCAAUGACGUCAUCGUACGAUUCCAUGGACUAGGGGCCGUACCGUAAGCAGUCCAAUGGAGGCCAAUACACACUGUCAAUGAACAUUAUUUUUGAAAUGACAAAUUUUCGUCUUAGAAACACGAGCUGAAUGUCAUUAGGGACCUUUUUCAAAGCGUGAGAUCAAUGACAACGACUGUCAAAGGGACUCUAAACUACAACUAAUUGUAGUUGCAUAAACGUUUUAAAAGACAAAAUAAUAAAUAGUGACUAUUAUAAUAUCGACUCGAUUCACAAAGGAUAACUUCUUUAACUAUUUCGGAAACUACAAACGUUUAAGAGUAGAGCUUGCUCAGAUACUUUUACAAAACAUGUGUUUGGAAAAUAAAGUAAAACAUUAGAGAAGGAUACAGUGUAUUACCUGUUUGCCAAAAAAAAAUUAAUUGUUUUAGUAACACUGUUCUUUUAACAUUGUAUGUAAAAGGUAACAGAUGUUCUUUACAAUUUUCUUCAUAAGUUUAAAACCAAAUCGAAUGUCAGUGUGGGCUUGUUCCAAGCCUUUGACAUGCCCUUUUUGACAUAACCCUAAACAACGUUCAGAAGCUCAUUUGAACUGUCUAUGAGAUUUAACACAGAACUAUUUCGUGUGCUCUUUCCACAACCUUCUUUCUCCGCUUUUCUUUUGGUAAUUGAUUCACAAAUUAAGUCGAGCCAUGACUGUUGAAUUGAAUUUUGCCGCGGGAGGUAAUUGGCCAAUCGACACCUGUCCGUCAAAAUGACUUUUGACUUAAUGAGAUAGUUACACGCCCAACACUCUGAGUGCUUGCAUUGCAAAAUAGUCAUGACCUUUAAAUCAAUCUCAGUGAUUGGUUUCGCCUGCACUUUUGUUUUACUAUCGGCCGAUGUGUGGAUAUUUGAUUUCUUGGGGUGAGUUGUGAGUUGGCUAGAUCACUGAGUUUGGCAUGACCUGGUCAUCUAAACUAAAACCAAUUAAAGCUUGUAAAAAACAAUCCCAUUGCACUUUGACAUCACUGAAAUUGUUGUAAACAAAACAUAACCACACAGUCGACCGUUUCAUUAGUUAUACAAGACUAUAAAAAAGCUUUUACAAUAAAUAAAGCCAUUAUUUCUUCGUAUUUCAAGCAAAUUUGAGGAUACAACCUUUAUAAGAGACUGCACUGAGACAGAAUUUAUUUAAUUGAAAACAAUUGUUGGGUUUGAACACAAACUAACAUCGUCAUUUACAACUUCAUUCUUUUCCACCAACUUGGUGUCAAUUAAGACAAACAUCAGUGUGCAGUUUUGAAAUAUUUGAUGAUAAACAAAGGGCAAAGUACAGGGCAAUGAGUAUUCUAGAUCUUGAUUUGUUUUAUUUUUCUUACACCAAGUGUUAAACAAGUAUUAAUUAUAUUAAUUCCAAACCUUAGACUUAGUAAUGUUUAGUGGGAUGUUGUGUUGCCCAACUCUUAAUGAUUAUCGAGGUUUGACAUUGACCUAUUGUGAUGCACUAUUUGUCAACGCAAUUGAAUUAAGACAUAAACAUGAUCAUUCAACGUCUCGCCGAUUAGUCUAUAGGGAGAUGCUUCAGACUAGGAUGUACUCUGAUGUACUCUCUGUACAAAUUACCAGUUAUUCAGAUAUUUGAACUGAAAUCACAGGAUGACGAAUAAUACAUGAGUAAAGCCUGUAUGGUUUUUAUUUAAGCGUCACAUGUAACCUAUAUAUAUGUUGUGCAAAGAGUAUGAAUGUUUAAACAAACACCAAGUGCAAACGUGUACAUCUCGAAGUGCCAACGAAUUCUUGAUUGAUUUACCUAACUCUAACUAUAUUUCACUGUAAAUGAAUUUGACGAAAUAAAAACGCAAAACUUAAACUGCA